This is a long non-coding RNA of Heterocephalus glaber (naked mole-rat), 460 nucleotides long. The record is from Ensembl. NCBI's taxonomy places the organism in Eukaryota, Metazoa, Chordata, Mammalia, Rodentia, Bathyergidae.
CAGCGCACUGUGCCCACGCCUUGAAGGCCCCGAGAAGCCUGUCUGUUCUUGCCAUCGGCAAAGACCGCACAGAGAGGAAGCUGGAGCUGUGGGCGAACAAUAAACAGCAUCUUGAGAAGCAGUGUAGCCAGGCGUGGUGGCGAACGCCUGUGAUCCCGGCACUCGGGAGGCUGAGGCAGGAGGAUCACUAUGAGUUCAAGAACAGCCUGGAUUACAUAGUGAGUUCAAGGCCAGCCUGGAUCACAUGAGUGGGCACACACCAUCGGGCAGGCCGUGCCCUGGCCCAGGGCGCCCAGUGGGAAGGACCCAGGCGUUCAAGCUGUCCAGGUCUCGGUAGCCAGCCAUGUGUUUGGAGCCCUUCCUGUCAUCGGGAGAAAGAGUGACAUCACUUUCUGACCACAGCGGUGUGUCUGGCUGAGCUCUGUAACAACGGGUAGACGGACAAACCUCUGCAAGGAAG